RNAcentral lists this ribosomal RNA (253 nucleotides) under uncultured bacterium. RNAcentral describes it as "partial 16S ribosomal RNA". It matches the Rfam family "Bacterial small subunit ribosomal RNA", at positions 524 to 776 of the family's 1533-position model. The record is from RNAcentral.
UACGGAGGGGGCUAGCGUUGUUCGGAUUCAUUGGGCGUAAAGGGUGCGUAGGUGGCGCUGUAAGUCGGGUGUGAAAUUUCGGAGCUUAACUCCGAAACUGCAUUCGAUACUGCGGUGCUUGAGGACUGGAGAGGAGACUGGAAUUCAUGGUGUAGCAGUGAAAUGCGUAGAGAUCAUGAGGAAGACCAGUGGCGAAGGCGGGUCUCUGGACAGUUCCUGACACUGAGGCACGAAGGCCAGGGGAGCAAACGGG